UCCUUAUUCAAAGGCAAACCAUCCACUGAGCAGUUUUUUGCAUUUUUCCCAUUUAGCAAGAAAGUGAAUUCUGUGAAGAACAGAAGUAGUAUGGGUAUGGAGAUAGCACAACACAUCUUGGACAAAGGAGGACAGCACAGAGAGAAGAGUCUCCCCAAUGGAAACCACUAGAUGUUUUCAAAACAACAGUGAACCAGACAGAUCAUUAAGAAUGGGAAGUUUAGAGAACCUUUAGUGGGUUCUUUAAGGGUCCAGUGGUUUUGCCCUGUUGGAACCUCACCACAAACUUAACCAAAUAUCACUUUAUCCAUUCAAAUCUUUCAGGGGUCUAAAGCACAAUGCAAACAGUUUCUACUCAUUAUUUUUUUAGGGAUUGGCUCCUAUAAAGGAUGAUGAUUACCAUAGAAUUUUAAAUCCUAACAAUUAUAACCUCUCCCACAUCCCAACCAGCAAUCAGCUAUUCCAAACCAGGAAGGAAAAAUAGUAGACUAUGCUAAGAAAACCCAUAACUGAGAAGAUGGAUCACCACCUAAGCUUCUCAAUUCUCCUACAAAGGGAAGUCAGAACCUAUUGUAGGGAGCUGUUUGGCUUGUGUAAAGCUGGUUUUGUGGACUGUGAAUUAACUGAGACUCAAGGAUCUUCUUCUGCCCAGAUUGGGUGUAGACUGGCUACUAGUCAAUUAAAACCCUUCUCCCCACCACAUGAACCCAGACUCAGAGCUCUGACCCAAAGAAAUAGCACUCAGUCAUCUAACCAGAAAAUGAAAGCUGGUGGAGGCAAGUGCACAAGUCCACUGGUAGCCAACAACCCUCUGGGUACCUCACCUUCAUCUCUAUCCAAGGCUGAUCAAAGAGGACGAAAAUCCCAUCUUCUGCUAGAUAUUGAGUCUAUUGCAUACCAAAAAAUCUGUUAAGAUUCUUCAGAACCAGAUGAGUUGGUUUCUUACCCUAGCUGGGAACAAGCCCUCAGGAAUUUUAAGGCAUGCUUCCUCCUGCUCGUCUAAGAUUGCCAGCCUUGACUACAAAAGAAAUAAUUGACUCCUGUGACUGUUGGAUAGGCCUCUGAAUGGAGACAUCACAAGGAUUGAGAAUGCCAUGAAUUAUCAGGCCUACUUUACCUCCUGGCACUUUUGACCUCAUUCACCAUGUGGUGUAGUGAAAAAGGUCCUAGAUUUGGCAG
This 1179-nucleotide long non-coding RNA is filed under the name Phascolarctos cinereus (koala). RNAcentral describes it as "lncRNA (ENSPCIG00000021065.2)". The record is from RNAcentral. Lineage: Eukaryota; Metazoa; Chordata; Mammalia; Diprotodontia; Phascolarctidae.